GAUGAACGCUAGCGGCAGGCCUAAUACAUGCAAGUCGAACGGUAAGGCCCUUUCGGGGUACACGAGUGGCGGACGGGUGCGUAACGCGUAUGCAACAUACCUUCAAGCGGGGGAUAUGCCAGGGAAACUUGGUGCAACACCCCAUAGCAUUUCGGGACCGCAUGGUCUUGGGAUUAAAUAUUUAUAGCUUGGAGAUUGGCAUGCGUGACAUUAGCUAGUUGGCGGGUAACGGCCCACCAAGGCGACGAUGUCUAGCUGGUCUGAGAGGAUGAUCAGCCACACUGGGACUGAGACACGGCCCAGACUCCUACGGGAGGCAGCAGUAGGGAAUAUUGGACAAUGGGGGGAACCCUGAUCCAGCCAUGCCGCGUGAGGGAAGAAGGUCCUCUGGAUUGUAAACCUCUUUUGGCGGGGGACAAACCUGCACUAUACGUGCAGCUGAGGGUACCCGCAGAAUAAGCACCGGCUAACUCCGUGCCAGCAGCCGCGGUAAU
This 494-nucleotide ribosomal RNA is filed under the name uncultured bacterium. RNAcentral's name for it is "bacterial SSU rRNA". It matches the Rfam family "Bacterial small subunit ribosomal RNA", at positions 28 to 524 of the family's 1533-position model. The record is from RNAcentral.